Molecule: long non-coding RNA, 1068 nt
Filed under: Sus scrofa (pig)
Lineage: Eukaryota; Metazoa; Chordata; Mammalia; Artiodactyla; Suidae
Description: lncRNA (ENSSSCG00065024107.1)
Source: RNAcentral
AAUACAGGAUCCUUAACCCACCGAGCAAGGGCAGGGAUUGAACCUGCGUCCUCAUGGAUACUAGUCACGUUCAUUACUGCUGAGCCACAACAGGAACUCCCUGAAGUUUUUAACUUUUAAUUGACUUCCCCCUCCCUUUCUGGGGGUUUAAGGAUUUUCAUUACUGGGAAAGGGUAGUUCUAAUUUUCCAGUAAGAAGGUCAAUUAAAGAUCAGUUUUACUCCUUCCUGCUUGACAUUUGAGUGAUUGGAAAAACUUUUCCUCAUCUGUCAGAUGCUUAGGAAGCUAAAUGAGAGAUGGAUUCCUGGGUCAAAGGCAUAUGAGCCUGUUUCCUCACUGGAGAAGCUGUUCAGGAAGGGCUGCAGGGUUCCAGGAUCACCCUCCCUCUUCAUCCAGGCCAACUCAUCUCACGAAGUAGACUUGUCUCUCAACUAAACUUAGUAGCUAUGAGACUUCUGUAAUGAAUUACUGGCAUAUCAUUGCCAUUCUUUCCAGGAUGAAUCACAGAGGCAAAUUGGAAUCUUUUGCCUUUUAAUUAUACGUACUUCCAAUUAUUUACGAAGUCCUAUUUUAUCUCAUAUUUUUCUCAUCAUUAAUUUUUUUUGAUGUACUGAUGCCCUAGGUCAGGUUCUCAUAAUCUCAAGCCGAGUGUCUUCAGUGAAUUCUACUUAUUUCUUAUCCAGUUUGUUCUGCAGAUUUCUCUCAACCCAGACUCUUCACCAGAUUCAUGUCUCUUGGCAGCAUACCCUACCCUGGGCCCAAACAUUAAACUCACUACUCAAUCUCUAUUAUUGUUAUUACAUGGGACUAUAGAAAAAAUUGCCAAAGUUUUCACAAAACACUAGACCUUUUGUGUAAAUCUUUUUGAGAAAACAACUUGCUUUGAUUGAAGGAGGGAAGGCAUGCUUCCAAGGAAUGGAAGGCAUGGAAUAACUAGUUUCGAAAUUUAUAUGUUGGAUGUGGAAAUCACGGGAUGAGUGAAGGAAAGGAGGUAUUUAUUUGGAUAGAAAAUUCACUUUACAAGUUCUAAAUAAUUGAGUUUAAGAUGGUUUAAAGGAGGCUUUGGCUU